RNAcentral lists this ribosomal RNA (523 nucleotides) under uncultured fungus. Its description in RNAcentral is "SSU rRNA". It matches the Rfam family "Eukaryotic small subunit ribosomal RNA", at positions 569 to 1092 of the family's 1831-position model. The record is from RNAcentral. Lineage: Eukaryota; Fungi.
AGCAGCCGCGGUAAUUCCAGCUCCAAUAGCGUAUAUUAAAGUUGUUGCAGUUAAAAAGCUCGUAGUUGAAUUUCGGGGUUAGUAGGUUGGUCAUGCCACUGGUAUGUACUGAUCUUACUGAUUCCUCCUUCCUGAUGAACCGUAAUGCCAUUAAUUUGGUGUUGCGGGGAGACUGGACUGUUACUUUGAAAAAAUUAGAGUGUUUAAAGCAGGCUAACGCUUGAAUACAUUAGCAUGGAAUAAUGAAGUAGGACGUUCGAUCCUAUUUUGUUGGUUUCUAGGAUUGACGUAAUGAUUAAUAGGGAUAGUUGGGGGCAUUAGUAUUCAAUUGUCAGAGGUGAAAUUCUUGGAUUUAUUGAAGACUAACUACUGCGAAAGCAUUUGCCAAGGAUGUUUUCAUUAAUCAAGAACGAAAGUUAGGGGAUCGAAGACGAUCAGAUACCGUCGUAGUCUUAACCAUAAACUAUGCCGACUAGGGAUCGGAUGAUGUUAAUUUUUUAAUGUACUCAUUCGGCGCCUUAAC